UUUCAUUUAUUUUAUAUGCAUAAUUUUUGUCAGUUAUUUAAUGGUCAUACUGCUUACAUACUUUUGAAAACAAUUUUUAAAAUUUAACAUUUCUAUGUAAGCAUUUUCUCAUGUUAUUAUGAAUUCUUAAUAAAUAUCAUUUUAAUGGCUGCUUAAUGUUCCAGCAAGUGGAUAUUCCAGAAUUUACUUAAUGAUCUCUUUAUUACCAGACAUUAACUGGUUUCUAAUUUUUUAGUAUUACAGAUAAUGUCAUGAUCAAUAUUUGGGGGCAUUUUCCACAUUUCAGAUUAUUUCCUUAGGCUAGAUUUACAGAAGUAGAAUUGCAGAGUCAAAAGGUAUGAAAACAUUCAACACUCUCAAGAAAUAUUGUCAUACUGCUUUAUAAAAGGGUUGGUGCAGUUUGCACUGCCGCUAGCAGCUAAUCGAGCAAAACUGCAAUGGGACUAAAAACAGUUUAUGGAGUUAGACCAGGGUUUCUCAACCUCAGCACAAUUGACCUUUUGUGCAGGAUAAUUCUUUGUUAUGGGAGGCUGUCGUACGUAUUGUAGUAAUGUUUAGCAGUAUCCCCGCUAUCUGUCCACUAGAAUUCAGUAGCAACCCUCAGUUAUGACAACAAAAAAUGUCUCCAGACAUUGCCACAUGCAUCCUUGGGGGCAAAAUCAUCCCUGGUUAAGACCUCAUGUGUUAGACAAACUUUAACUUUGACUUUCAUUUGAGCUCUACCACAUACUAGCAAGCCAAUGUGGGCAGGUUACUUGAUCUCUCUGGCUCAUCAUUUAUUCAUCGUAAACUGGGGAUGAUUACACUCAGCUCAGGAGUUGCUUGUGAAGAUAAGAUAGUGUAUGUAAGGUGUUUCAUACAAUGCUUGGAGCCUGGUAACAGCUAGUAACUAUUUGCAAUUAAGAUCAUGGUGGCAAUGCUGGAAGUGCCCUGUGAAAGGACCUGGCUUUUGUGUGAAUGAAGGAGAGGUGGGUUUAGUGAAUCACUGAUAUUCAUUCAUUUAUUUAUGCACUCAUUCAGUUAGUAUUUAUUGGGCCAUUACUACAUGCCAGGAAUUGUUCCAGGCACAAAGGAUACAGCAGUGUAUAAAAUACUGUCCUCAUGGAGCUUAUAUUCGAGUGGAGAGACAGGCAAUAAAUGAGAUUGGAAAAGUUAAUUAUAUGAUAUGUUAGGAAAGAGGAUAGAAAUUGUUUGGCAGGUGGGAGAGGUUGAAAUUUUAGAUAGGAUAGAUCUGGAAGUCUCUAUCGAAGAGGGACAAUUAAGACUUGACUUUGCCAUGUAGGCACUGAAGGGCAGUCCAGAUGGAGGGAAGAGCAAGUGCAAAGGCCCUGAAACAGAAAUGUGCCCAGAAUGUUCAAGGACUCACAGAUCUAACUUGGCUGAAGGCAAGGCUUCGGGGUCAAUAAGGAGAGCUGAUUGCAGGACUAUGCAUCACCAUCUGAUUACCUGGGUGUGCUUCAUGCUCUCGUGUGUGUGUGACAUUGUCAUGGAUGCAAUGUUCUCCUCAGAACAUGGAAUUCAACCUGCUGUCCUCUCUCAGUAACAAUAAUGAAGCUUUUAAAGCAUCCCUGAAAGAGUUAUCGUGGAAGGAUUUGCUAAAGGACCAAAGACAACUGCCAACCUCUUCAAAGGCAAUUUUCCUGCAUCAGUGUCACACAGCUGCUCUGGGAAGCAAUGCAGAAGGUUCCCUCCCUGAGUUCUCCGACCACAGUGGACGACUCCAGUGGCUUCAAGAAACAUCCAUGACAGUACUGGGGAUCAUUCGUUGGUUUCACAGUGUAGGGCCUGGUUUGUGAUUCUCUCUAAUGGCAGACCAGGCCUCUGGACCAGAAAUGGGGCCAUGGAAAGUGGCAUGAAAGGAUCUCAGCAACAGGAAUAAACAGAUUUGGUUCUAGCAGUGCUUGUUUCAUUAGAUAUUUCAACCUGCUUAAGUGGAGAAAUAGUAGACUUGAACCAAUUGAAAAAACCCAGAACGAUACACACCAAUUUGCUGAGUCCUGAAAAGAAUGCAAUUCCAAAUCUAUUCAUCUACCGAAACCAUGACCCAAACCAAUAUCACCACCAAACCUACCCACCCCACCAAACACACACUCUGAGAAGGGAGAGAGGAUGCGGAAUAAGGACCAAAGGAUUAAAGAAGAAUGUCAAAUAAUUCUGCAUAGUAAACCUGAACUAAAGUAAAAUUAUAUCAAUCCUCCUUUUCCCAUCAAAGACUGAGCAUUCUGGUUAAUGAAAUAAUUUAAGGUACAGUAAUUUGCUUUCACGGAAACACAAUUUUCCAACUUAUGAGUAACUUAUAUGUACAGUGGGAAUCAAAGUAUCCUUUUAGUCUUUAAUA
RNAcentral lists this long non-coding RNA (2338 nucleotides) under Homo sapiens (human). Its description in RNAcentral is "HSALNT0362059". The record is from RNAcentral. Lineage: Eukaryota; Metazoa; Chordata; Mammalia; Primates; Hominidae.